AAUUUCAGGGAGGUGAAUAAUCUGGGUGUCUACUCUUGGGGUAACCUGCCCUGUACACACGGUAUAACAUACCGAAAGGUAUACUAAUACGGGAUAACAUACGAAAGUCGCAUGGCUUUUGUAUCAAAGCUCCGGCGGUACAGGAUGGACCCGCGUCUGAUUAGCUAGUUGGUAAGGUAAUGGCUUACCAAGGCAACGAUCAGUAGCCGACCUGAGAGGGUGAUCGGCCACACUGGAACUGAGACACGGUCCAGACUCCUACGGGAGGCAGCAGUGGGGAAUAUUGCACAAUGGGCGAAAGCCUGAUGCAGCAACGCCGCGUGAGCGAUGAAGGCCUUCGGGUCGUAAAGCUCUGUCCUCAAGGAAGAUAAUGACGGUACUUGAGGAGGAAGCCCCGGCUAACUACGUGCCAGCAGCCGCGGUAAUACGUAGGGGGCUAGCGUUAUCCGGAAUUACUGGGCGUAAAGGGUGCGUAGGUGGUUUUUUAAGUCAGAAGUGAAAGGCUACGGCUCAACCGUAGUAAGCUUUUGAAACUAGAGAACUUGAGUGCAGGAGAGGAGAGUAGAAUUCCUAGUGUAGCGGGUGAAAUGCGUAGAUAUUAGGAGGAAUACCAGUAGCGAAGGCGGCUCUCUGGACUGUAACUGACACUGAGGCACGAAAGCGUGGGGAGCAAACAGGAUUAGAUACCCUGGUAGUCCAUCGCCCGUAAACGAUGAGGUACUCGGUGUCGGGGGGUUACCCCUCCCUCCUGUGCCUGCAGACGUAACGGAAUUAAGGUAACUUCCGUCUGGGGGAAAGUUACCCGCUUCGUAAACGAAGUGGAACAACUUC
RNAcentral lists this ribosomal RNA (831 nucleotides) under Clostridium sp. AL05-3. RNAcentral's name for it is "bacterial SSU rRNA". It matches the Rfam family "Bacterial small subunit ribosomal RNA", at positions 81 to 873 of the family's 1533-position model. Lineage: Bacteria; Bacillati; Bacillota; Clostridia; Eubacteriales; Clostridiaceae. The record is from RNAcentral.